UUUCCGUAGGUGAACCUGCGGAAGGAUCAUUAUUAUAAUGCGUGGAAAAGCCCCCUUACAGGGGCUCUCUAGAAAACUCUAAACUUACUGUCUGAGAAGGCUACGUGCCAUAAUCUUUAAAUAUUUUAAAACCUUCAACAACGGAUCUCUUGGUUCUC
This 158-nucleotide unclassified non-coding RNA is filed under the name plant metagenome. RNAcentral describes it as "partial contains small subunit ribosomal RNA, internal transcribed spacer 1, and 5.8S ribosomal RNA". The record is from RNAcentral.